UGGGGAAUUUUGCACAAUGGGGGAAACCCUGAUGCAGCGACGCUGCGUGAUUUAGAAGGCCUUCGGGUUGUAAAAAUCUUUUCUAUGGGAAGAAAAUGACAGUACCAUAGGAAUAAGGACCGGCUAAUUACGUGCCAGCAGCCGCGGUAAUACGUAAGGUCCGAGCGUUGUCCGGAAUCAUUGGGCGUAAAGGGUACGUAGGCGGGUAAGCAAGUUAGAAGUGAAAUCCUAUAGCUCAACUAUAGUAAGCUUUUAAAACUGCUCAUCUUGAGGUAUGGAAGGGAAAGUGGAAUUCCUAGUGUAGCGGUGAAAUGCGCAGAUAUUAGGAGGAAUACCGGUGGCGAAGGCGACUUUCUGGCCAUAACCUGACGCUGAGGUACGAAAGCGUGGGUAGCAAACAGG
This 402-nucleotide ribosomal RNA is filed under the name bacterium. Its description in RNAcentral is "partial 16S ribosomal RNA". It matches the Rfam family "Bacterial small subunit ribosomal RNA", at positions 355 to 776 of the family's 1533-position model. The record is from RNAcentral.